This 2179-nucleotide long non-coding RNA is filed under the name Triticum aestivum (bread wheat). Its description in RNAcentral is "long non-coding RNA (TAES_LNC014819)". Lineage: Eukaryota; Viridiplantae; Streptophyta; Magnoliopsida; Poales; Poaceae. The record is from RNAcentral.
GCGCGGCGAACCCUAGGUGCCGCCGCCAUGCCUACUGCCUCACCAGUUGCCCCGAGGAGAUCUAUCUUACAAGUUCAAAGUGAGUUUAUCUGUUCUCUCCAUCAUAUCAUUACCCUGGUUUACCUUCUCAGCAUCCUCCCGUAUGGCUAAGGUUUUGAGAAAUCCAUACUGCAAAUAUCAUAGGGUGUGCUAUUAUAGUACAUAUAUUGUAGGGUGCGGUGGUGCUUAUAAUACUUAACUAUUGAAAUCAGCUUUCAUGGUUUCAAUCGUUUGUGUGCCAAUCAAUUUGGGUUGGUUCAUAUAUACACCAAUGAAUUGUGGGGUGUACUGUUGCUUAACCAAGUUGAUUUUAGAACCUAUUUUCAUUUUAGCAGUCAACUUUACUCCAUGUGUUAAAAAUUUAAAGGGCGUAAUUAACUAAACUGUGGAAAAUUAGAUGCUACAGCCACAAUAGUUCCUUUAUUUUAACAACACAAAAAUUCUAUAUACACUGAAAUCAUAAAAAAACAUAAUGGUCAAAGUUUUGCAAUGUACAAGGCAAUGGUCGGAUGUUAUGAAGAAUAGUAGGAAUAAGCAUGUAAUUCCCUUUGAGGAAUGAUGAAUCCAACGAUGUUAACUUUGUUUCUCCAGGCAUGUGAUCGUUUGGGGCGAGUAGAUUCCAAUGGUGGAACAUAAGCUAUGCUAGGUAAUCAACCUUUGCACAGUAAAACAUAUGAAGAUGUUCUGAAUGUAAGGCAUCUUCGCCAAUUUGAGGAAAAUGACAUUAGCUUACUUCCAUAUAUAGAUUGCAGAGCGCUUGUUCAAGCUUAAUAAUAUAGCAUGGAGACCAAGGCGAACAAUCACCCAAUGCAGUUGUUGCGUAGAAUAGUUUGCAUUUUUAUGUUCUUUCUUGCUUUCAAAUGUUCUUGCACGAGAGGAAGUAAGUGGCAGUCUUUUUGUGCUAUGUGGAGAUUUGUUCUUUCUUUAUGUGGGCUAUCCCUUCAUUGGUCUGGCCUAUUUUCAUGUGUUGUACUACAUCGUCUGAGAACCAGAUCAUUGUUUUUAUCCAGGGCUACCCAGUUAAGUGUAUCUAGACAUCUUUUUGUAUCGUUGAGUAAAUUGGUCUUGUGAAUCUAAAUUCUUGUGUUUGUUUGACUAUGUAGGUGCAAUUCCUCAAGCAUACUGGAUGGUCACCAAAGCCUAAUUGAGAAAUUAUUGAACCUAUUCAUGGAUCAGGUAAAAUAUUCCAUUCAUAAAUGUAUGGUGCGCUUUCAGCUCUAUCCACAUUUUUAUCCUUCCUUCGAUUUUUCUGUCAUGCAAUUUCCAUCAUGUGCUCGUUUGGUGAUGCUUCGAAUGUGUAACUCUACUUAUAUUUUUAGACAGCUAUAUAUCUUUGUCGAUUAUUGCAGGCCAGGUGUUGGUGUGUGGAUUCGCCAAUCGUGUCAACAUUCAGAUACUAUUCCUGUUCUGCAAUCAUAUAUUGACUUAUCUUCAUAUUAGUCGAUGUAUGAUUUUCUUUUAGUGAGAUGUUAUGUCUAUAUUAGAUGUACAAAUGCAGACACACUAUGCUUGCCUAUGUGGCAUGACUAGGGAGUGUGCUUAAGAUAUACUACAUGGAGUAGUUCUUAUCAGGUGAUCAUUAAUUAGUAUGGUAAUGAAAAUGUUCAUGAUUAUUCGGUCAUACUGCCUCUGAAAUGGUCAGUAUAGAUGCACACUCAAAUCACUAAUUGCAUUAUUAAGUUCCCAGUCUUGGUUCAGAUUUCUUGAACUGAAAUAGGACUUGCUUUACAAUUGCAUGAUUUUUACACAUUCUCUAACUGAAAUGUGGCAACUUAACUGAUACAAGUUAUCUAACUAUAUAUUUAUCUAUAGGAAAUUGAAUAUUUUGUGUCAUGCAAAUCAACAAACUGCAGGAGUUAGCUAAGGGAAGUUGCAUCUGUUUCUCCCUACAGAAAAAUGCAUCUAUUCUUUGCCAUGGUGUACCACACUAGCUUAUCCAAGUGCUCUAAGAUAUCAUCGUAUGCCUGAGCUUUGCCUCACAUGAAGUCCAUCACAACUAAACACGGUUCAGUUUGUUUUUCACCACUAACACUUUAUCUUAUCUGCUCCAUUUUCUGGCAAACUAGGUUGAGAAAGGCAUGAUAUUGUCCGUUGUGUAUUCCAAAUGGGUUGCUGUGGUGGAUGUGGUAACAUAACUUUG